This 253-nucleotide ribosomal RNA is filed under the name uncultured bacterium. RNAcentral's name for it is "partial 16S ribosomal RNA". It matches the Rfam family "Bacterial small subunit ribosomal RNA", at positions 524 to 776 of the family's 1533-position model. The record is from RNAcentral.
UACGAGGGGGGCGAGCGUUGUUCGGGAUUAUUGGGCGUAAAGGGUGCGUAGGCGGUUUUGUAAGUCUUAUGUGAAAUCUAUGGGCUCAACUCAUAGACUGCAUGAGAAACUGCAGGGCUUGAGUAUGGGAGAGGUGAGUGGAAUUCCUGGUGUAGCGGUGAAAUGCGUAGAUAUCAGGAGGAACACCUGUGGCGAAAGCGGCUCACUGGACCAUAACUGACGCUGAUGCACGAAAGCUAGGGGAGCAAACAGG